GUCAAUUUCGAAUUCCAAAAAUUAUUUAUAUAGACUUUGUCUUCUUUCACAGGUAAUCAUUAUAUGGGGCGGAUGCAGACAUUUAAAAAAGGGGUGUGUGUGUGUUCCAACUUUAAGUCCCCAUUCAAAUGCAUUGACCAUUAAAAAAAAGGGGGUGUUCCAACCCCUGGAACCCUCCUUGGAAUCACCACUGUGUGUGCCUCAUAUUAUUGUUAUAAGACUUUUAUAGAAUAACAGAAAUUUUGAAAGCUAGAUUUUUCAACAACACAGGAUCUUAAAAUAAUUUAUAUUGUUCAAAAU
Molecule: long non-coding RNA, 300 nt
Filed under: Mytilus galloprovincialis (Mediterranean mussel)
Lineage: Eukaryota; Metazoa; Mollusca; Bivalvia; Mytilida; Mytilidae
Source: RNAcentral